Molecule: ribosomal RNA, 1544 nt
Rfam family: Bacterial small subunit ribosomal RNA
CGGAGAGUUUGAUCCUGGCUCAGGAUGAACGCUGGCGGCGUGCCUAACACAUGCAAGUCAAGGAGAAAGAGAUAGCAAUAUCUUGAGUAAACUGGCGAACGGGUGAGUAACACGUAGACAACUUACCUCGAGAACGGGAAUAACUCCGCGAAAGCGGUGCUAAUACCCGAUAUUGUUCUGAUGUGGCAUCACAUCAGAAUGAAAGGUCCCAAAAGGACGUCUCGAGAUGGGUCUGCGUCCCAUUAGAUAGUUGGCGGGGUAACAGCCCACCAAGUCUGCGAUGGGUAGCUGGUCUGAGAGGACGACCAGCCACACUGGAACUGAGACACGGUCCAGACUUCUACGGAAGGCAGCAGUGAGGAAUAUUGCUCAAUGGGCGAAAGCCUGAAGCAGCGACGCCGCGUGAGGGAUGAAAUCCGUUAGGAUGUAAACCUCUUUUAUGAGAGACGAAAAAGAUGCCAUGAGCAUCUCAUGACGGUAUCUCAGGAAUAAGGAUCGGCCAACUACGUGCCAGCAGCCGCGGUAAUACGUAGGAUCCGAGCGUUGUCCGGAAUUACUGGGUGUAAAGGGUCUGCAGGCGGGCAAGCAAGUCGGUGGUGAAAUCUCUCCGCUCAACGGAGAAACUGCCUUCGAUACUGCUUGUCUUGAGUUCGAGAGAGGGUAAUGGAAUUCAUGGUGUAGCGGUGAAAUGCGUAGAUAUCAUGAAGAACACCAGUUGCGAAGGCGAUUACCUGGCUCGACACUGACGCUCAGGGACGAAAGCGUGGGGAUCAAACAGGAUUAGAUACCCUGGUAGUCCACGCCUUAAACGAUGGAUGUUCGAUGUCAGUCCGUAAGGAUUGGUGUCUGAGCUAACGCGUUAAACAUCUCACCUGGGGAGUACGAUCGCAAGGUUGAAACUCAAAGGAAUUGACGGGGGCCCGCACAAGCAGUGGAGCAUGUGGUUCAAUUCGAUGCAACGCGAAGAACCUUACCUGGGUUUGAAAGGCAAGCGACAGGCGAUGAAAGUCGCUCUCGUAGCAAUACGCGCUUGUACAGGUGCUGCAUGGCUGUCGUCAGCUCGUGCCGUGAGGUGUUAGGUUAAGUCCUGCAACGAGCGCAACCCCUGCACUUAGUUGCCAGCAAGUAAUGUUGGGCACUCUAAGUGGACUGCCUACGCAAGUAGCGAGGAAGGUGGGGAUGACGUCAAGUCCUCAUGGCCCUUACACCCAGGGCCACACACGUGCUACAAUGGCCACUACAAAGGGUUGCCAAGGCGCAAGCCGGAGCCAAUCCCAAAAAAGUGGUCUCAGUUCGAAUUGGGGUCUGCAACUCGACCCCAUGAAGCUGGAAUUGCUAGUAAUCGCGGAUCAGCACGCCGCGGUGAAUACGUUCCCGGGCCUUGUACACACCGCCCGUCAAGCCAUGGAAACUGGGGGUACCCGAAGUCGGUACGCGAACCGCAAGGACGCAGCCGCCUAAGGUAAAACCAGCGACUGGGGCUAAGUCGUAACAAGGUAGCCGUACCGGAAGGUGCGGCUGGAUCACCUCCUUUCUAAGGAGCU